UCAUCCAUACUCGCGCAUAGUCGGAUUCUUACCGGUAAAGAUUCGGGUUUUGUUUAGCUCUAGACUUCCUGUGCAAAGAAAUGCUAAUUUAUUGCCCAAAAGGUCAUAUUCCAGGUUACUUUCUGCUUUUAUCUCUAGAAAACAUCAUCCUUUCGUUUCUUCUCCUUCAUACUUUCUCCAUAUCGAUCAAAUCUAUAUCAUAGGUUGAACUCCAAAGAGAAAAAAUUGACAGGUAUUGUUUCUGUAAGAAGAAAACUUGCAUUUUUUUGUUGAUUUUUUUUUGUUUGAUUUCCGAUCGGGAGAGACAGGGGUGGAGAGAGCACACACUGGUGUCUAUGUUGAAUCCUGAGAUUCCGGCUGCAUCUCUUCCCCAUAUAUCGGUUCAAUUCCCUUUUUUUCUUUGGAAAGUUAAAUUGAUCAACCAAUGAUCCAUAUGCACCAUAAAAUCAAAUUCAAAAGUCAAAAUCGUCUUGCUAUUUAGGUUUCUCUCCACCACCACCCGCCCUGAAAUCGAUGGUAACAACACUUGUAUAAAGAAAUUCGAGAGAGCCUCUCUAAAGAGAAACCACAAGUCUCUUACUUUAGUUGAAUCAUGACCACGUAGAUCAAAAAGUUUCCAUAGCUUUGAAAGAUGCACUGAUGGAGGAGAGAUCGAACAUAUAAUAUGUGUCAAAUGGUGGACCAUUGAUGAAUUCCCUUCAUCAUACUCAUCAAAACAAGAGUGUUACCCCCACCAUUCUAGACAAUAAUACCCUCCCAAUCCCAUAACAAUUUCAGAAAAAAAAAACAGCUUCAAAGUGAUGCGUAAAAACAAAUUUAUUGGUCGUAAAUUACUUACAUUAAAUCCACUUCCAAUAACAAUUAAACAAUUAAAAAUGGAGAUAUUGCGGCAUAUUGAAGCCAUAUAACAAGAAAAAUACAAUAGAUAGGUAACCCCUAUAUAUAUGAUCGGUUAAAUGUAAUUUCAUCCCCAUGGUCAUUUUUACCCA
This is a non-coding RNA of Lactuca sativa (garden lettuce), 989 nucleotides long. The record is from RefSeq and is a predicted model, not a curated record. NCBI's taxonomy places the organism in Eukaryota, Viridiplantae, Streptophyta, Magnoliopsida, Asterales, Asteraceae.